GCCGGUUUGGCUCAGUGGAUAGAGCGUCAGCCUGCAAACUGAAGGGUCCUGGGUUCAAUUCCUGGUUAGGGCA
Molecule: transfer RNA, 73 nt
Filed under: Myotis lucifugus (little brown bat)
Lineage: Eukaryota; Metazoa; Chordata; Mammalia; Chiroptera; Vespertilionidae
Rfam family: tRNA
About the family: Transfer RNA (tRNA) molecules are approximately 80 nucleotides in length. Their secondary structure includes four short double-helical elements and three loops (D, anti-codon, and T loops). Further hydrogen bonds mediate the characteristic L-shaped molecular structure. tRNAs have two regions of fundamental functional importance: the anti-codon, which is responsible for specific mRNA codon recognition, and the 3' end, to which the tRNAs corresponding amino acid is attached (by aminoacyl-tRNA synthetases). tRNAs cope with the degeneracy of the genetic code in two manners: having more than one tRNA (with a specific anti-codon) for a particular amino acid; and 'wobble' base-pairing, i.e. permitting non-standard base-pairing at the 3rd anti-codon position.
Source: Rfam by way of RNAcentral